GGGUUGUGAGGUUAAGCGACUAAGCGUACACGGUGGAUGCCCUGGCAGUCAGAGGCGAUGAAGGACGUGCUAAUCUGCGAUAAGCGUCGGUAAGGUGAUAUGAACCGUUAUAACCGGCGAUUUCCGAAUGGGGAAACCCAGUGUGAUUCGUCACACUAUCAUUAACUGAAUCCAUAGGUUAAUGAGGCGAACCGGGGGAACUGAAACAUCUAAGUACCCCGAGGAAAAGAAAUCAACCGAGAUUCCCCAGUAGCGGCGAGCGAACGGGGAGCAGCCCAGAGCCUGAAUCAGUGUGUGUGUUAGUGGAAGCGUCUGGAAAGGCGCGCGAUACAGGGUGACAGCCCCGUACACAAAAAUGCACAUACUGUGAGCUCGAUGAGUAGGGCGGGACACGUGGUAUCCUGUCUGAAUAUGGGGGGACCAUCCUCCAAGGCUAAAUACUCCUGACUGACCGAUAGUGAACCAGUACCGUGAGGGAAAGGCGAAAAGAACCCCGGCGAGGGGAGUGAAAAAGAACCUGAAACCGUGUACGUACAAGCAGUGGGAGCCUCUUUUAUGGGGUGACUGCGUACCUUUUGUAUAAUGGGUCAGCGACUUAUAUUCUGUAGCAAGGUUAACCGAAUAGGGGAGCCGAAGGGAAACCGAGUCUUAACCGGGCGUUAAGUUGCAGGGUAUAGACCCGAAACCCGGUGAUCUAGCCAUGGGCAGGUUGAAGGUUGGGUAACACUAACUGGAGGACCGAACCGACUAAUGUUGAAAAAUUAGCGGAUGACUUGUGGCUGGGGGUGAAAGGCCAAUCAAACCGGGAGAUAGCUGGUUCUCCCCGAAAGCUAUUUAGGUAGCGCCUCGUGAAUUCAUCUCCGGGGGUAGAGCACUGUUUCGGCAAGGGGGUCAUCCCGACUUACCAACCCGAUGCAAACUGCGAAUACCGGAGAAUGUUAUCACGGGAGACACACGGCGGGUGCUAACGUCCGUCGUGAAGAGGGAAACAACCCAGACCGCCAGCUAAGGUCCCAAAGUCAUGGUUAAGUGGGAAACGAUGUGGGAAGGCCCAGACAGCCAGGAUGUUGGCUUAGAAGCAGCCAUCAUUUAAAGAAAGCGUAAUAGCUCACUGGUCGAGUCGGCCUGCGCGGAAGAUGUAACGGGGCUAAACCAUGCACCGAAGCUGCGGCAGCGACACUGUGUGUUGUUGGGUAGGGGAGCGUUCUGUAAGCCUGUGAAGGUGUACUGUGAGGUAUGCUGGAGGUAUCAGAAGUGCGAAUGCUGACAUAAGUAACGAUAAAGCGGGUGAAAAGCCCGCUCGCCGGAAGACCAAGGGUUCCUGUCCAACGUUAAUCGGGGCAGGGUGAGUCGACCCCUAAGGCGAGGCCGAAAGGCGUAGUCGAUGGGAAACAGGUUAAUAUUCCUGUACUUGGUGUUACUGCGAAGGGGGGACGGAGAAGGCUAUGUUGGCCGGGCGACGGUUGUCCCGGUUUAAGCGUGUAGGCUGGUUUUCCAGGCAAAUCCGGAAAAUCAAGGCUGAGGCGUGAUGACGAGGCACUACGGUGCUGAAGCAACAAAUGCCCUGCUUCCAGGAAAAGCCUCUAAGCAUCAGGUAACAUCAAAUCGUACCCCAAACCGACACAGGUGGUCAGGUAGAGAAUACCAAGGCGCUUGAGAGAACUCGGGUGAAGGAACUAGGCAAAAUGGUGCCGUAACUUCGGGAGAAGGCACGCUGAUAUGUAGGUGAAGUCCCUCGCGGAUGGAGCUGAAAUCAGUCGAAGAUACCAGCUGGCUGCAACUGUUUAUUAAAAACACAGCACUGUGCAAACACGAAAGUGGACGUAUACGGUGUGACGCCUGCCCGGUGCCGGAAGGUUAAUUGAUGGGGUCAGCGCAAGCGAAGCUCUUGAUCGAAGCCCCGGUAAACGGCGGCCGUAACUAUAACGGUCCUAAGGUAGCGAAAUUCCUUGUCGGGUAAGUUCCGACCUGCACGAAUGGCGUAAUGAUGGCCAGGCUGUCUCCACCCGAGACUCAGUGAAAUUGAACUCGCUGUGAAGAUGCAGUGUACCCGCGGCAAGACGGAAAGACCCCGUGAACCUUUACUAUAGCUUGACACUGAACAUUGAGCCUUGAUGUGUAGGAUAGGUGGGAGGCUUUGAAGUGUGGACGCCAGUCUGCAUGGAGCCGACCUUGAAAUACCACCCUUUAAUGUUUGAUGUUCUAACGUGGACCCGUGAUCCGGGUUGCGGACAGUGUCUGGUGGGUAGUUUGACUGGGGCGGUCUCCUCCUAAAGAGUAACGGAGGAGCACGAAGGUUGGCUAAUCCUGGUCGGACAUCAGGAGGUUAGUGCAAUGGCAUAAGCCAGCUUGACUGCGAGCGUGACGGCGCGAGCAGGUGCGAAAGCAGGUCAUAGUGAUCCGGUGGUUCUGAAUGGAAGGGCCAUCGCUCAACGGAUAAAAGGUACUCCGGGGAUAACAGGCUGAUACCGCCCAAGAGUUCAUAUCGACGGCGGUGUUUGGCACCUCGAUGUCGGCUCAUCACAUCCUGGGGCUGAAGUAGGUCCCAAGGGUAUGGCUGUUCGCCAUUUAAAGUGGUACGCGAGCUGGGUUUAGAACGUCGUGAGACAGUUCGGUCCCUAUCUGCCGUGGGCGCUGGAGAACUGAGGGGGGCUGCUCCUAGUACGAGAGGACCGGAGUGGACGCAUCACUGGUGUUCGGGUUGUCAUGCCAAUGGCACUGCCCGGUAGCUAAAUGCGGAAGAGAUAAGUGCUGAAAGCAUCUAAGCACGAAACUUGCCCCGAGAUGAGUUCUCCCUGACCCUUUAAGGGUCCUGAAGGAACGUUGAAGACGACGACGUUGAUAGGCCGGGUGUGUAAGCGCAGCGAUGCGUUGAGCUAACCGGUACUAAUGAACCGUGAGGCUUAACCUUACAACGCCGAAGGUGUUU
Molecule: ribosomal RNA, 2929 nt
Filed under: Escherichia coli
Lineage: Bacteria; Pseudomonadati; Pseudomonadota; Gammaproteobacteria; Enterobacterales; Enterobacteriaceae
Description: bacterial LSU rRNA
Rfam family: Bacterial large subunit ribosomal RNA
Source: RNAcentral